CGCACAUUGCGCCCCUUGGUAUUCCAUGGGGCAUGCCUGUUCGAGCGUCAUCUACACCCUCAAGCUCUGCUUGGUGUUGGGCGUCUGUCCCCGCCUCCGCGCGCGGACUCGCCCCAAAUCCAUUGGCAGCGUCCCCUCGCCCCCCUCUCGCGCAGCACGAAUGCGCAUGACGAGGGAGCGGCUCCCGGGAUCGCGACCCACCCCCAAGAUGACCACCGUCUUUGACCUCGGAUCAGGUAGGGAUACCCGCUGAACUUAA
This 259-nucleotide unclassified non-coding RNA is filed under the name Dothideomycetes sp. RNAcentral's name for it is "partial contains 5.8S ribosomal RNA, internal transcribed spacer 2, and large subunit ribosomal RNA". The record is from RNAcentral. Lineage: Eukaryota; Fungi; Ascomycota; Dothideomycetes.